Molecule: ribosomal RNA, 873 nt
Filed under: Metschnikowia noctiluminum
Lineage: Eukaryota; Fungi; Ascomycota; Pichiomycetes; Serinales; Metschnikowiaceae
Description: eukaryotic LSU rRNA
Rfam family: Eukaryotic large subunit ribosomal RNA (bases 335-873)
Source: RNAcentral
CUGCGGAGGAUCAUUAAAAAAAAAUUAUUAUACAUCUCUUCUAGGAUUUAACCCUAAAUGUUAUAUAUUUCCACCAGUUUUUAAAAUAAAAAAAAAACUUUCAACAACGGAUCUCUUGGUUCUCGCAUCGAUGAAGAACGCAGCGAAUUGCGAUACGUAAUAUGACUUGCAGACGUGAAUCAUUGAAUUUUUGAACGCCCAUUGCGCCUUAAGGUAUUCCUCAAGGCAUGCGUGAAUGAGCGAUAUUUACUCUCAAACCCCUAGGGUUUGGUCCUGGCCCCCUACAGCCUAAACAUCAACUGAUUUUAAAAUAAGUUUUAAUCUCAUCCCCCUUAUUUCCUCAUUUUCGUAAGACUACCCGCUGAACUUAAGCAUAUCAAUAAGCGGAGGAAAAGAAACCAACAGGGAUUGCCUCAGUAACGGCGAGUGAAGCGGCAAAAGCUCAAAUUUGAAAUCCUCAGGGAAUUGUAUUUUGAAGGUUGACAGAGUUUGAAGGGUUCUUCUUAAGUUCAUUGGAAAAUGACGCCAUAGAGGGUGAUAGCCCCGUGAAGAAACCAAAUCCUUCUAUUUCUUUGUUCUCCAAAGAGUCGAGUUGUUUGGGAAUGCAGCUCUAAGUGGGUGGUAAAUUCCAUCUAAAGCUAAAUAUUGGCGAGAGACCGAUAGCGAACAAGUACAGUGAUGGAAAGAUGAAAAGCACUUUGAAAAGAGAGUGAAAAAGUACGUGAAAUUGUUGAAAGGGAAGGGCUUGCAAGCAGACACAACCUCGUGUUGGGCCAGCAUCGGGGCGAGGGGAAGUAAAACAGUCAAGAAAUAUAACUCCCUUCGGGGAGCAUUACAGUCUUUGUCCUACCACUUCCAUCUCAUCUCCGAGUC